This 450-nucleotide ribosomal RNA is filed under the name uncultured bacterium. Its description in RNAcentral is "partial 16S ribosomal RNA". It matches the Rfam family "Bacterial small subunit ribosomal RNA", at positions 354 to 796 of the family's 1533-position model. The record is from RNAcentral.
GUCGAGAAUAAUUCACAAUGGGGGAAACCCUGAUGGUGCAACGCCGCGUGGAGGAUGAAGGUCUUCGGAUUGUAAACUCCUGUCAUCUGGGAGUAAGACCUGACGGUGAAUAGCCGGCAGGGUUGAUAGUACCAGAAGAGGAAGGGACGGCUAACUUCGUGCCAGCAGCCGCGGUAAUACGAAGGUCCCAAGCGUUGUUCGGAAUCACUGGGCGUAAAGGGAGCGUAGGCGGCGUGGUAAGUCAGAUGUGAAAUCCCGGGGCUCAACCCCGGAACUGCAUCCGAUACUGCCAUGCUUGAGGGUUGGAGAGGUAGCUGGAAUUCUCGGUGUAGCAGUGAAAUGCGUGGAUAUCGAGAGGAACACUCGUGGCGAAGGCGAGCUACUGGACAACAUCUGACGCUGAGGCUCGAAGGCCAGGGGAGCAAAAGGGAUUAGAUACCCGUGUAGUCC